AGUCAAAGAGCUUGAAAAAGCUUAUAUUUUGAAAAUAUAAGAAAGAAUAAAAUUUCUUUUGAUUU
Molecule: transfer RNA, 65 nt
Filed under: Lagria rufipennis
Lineage: Eukaryota; Metazoa; Arthropoda; Insecta; Coleoptera; Tenebrionidae
Description: tRNA-Ser
Source: RNAcentral